This is an RNA transcript of Cryptotermes secundus, 1205 nucleotides long. It is a transcript of the gene named cyclin-T2-like, with no coding region annotated. The transcript is spliced from 5 exons. NCBI's taxonomy places the organism in Eukaryota, Metazoa, Arthropoda, Insecta, Blattodea, Kalotermitidae. The record is from RefSeq and is a predicted model, not a curated record.
AACUCCUAACCACUUCCUCUAAUUAUGAAAUGAUAAAAUAUCUGUCAGUAUAAUGACAAACAGUCACCAGAAGGCAGGAGUAGUCAACUCUUGAGACUCUGUUUAUAUCAGCAUACUUCAGGCAAUGGACAGUGUAUGUCAUAUUGUUGGUAUAUGAAUCAGCCAUGGUUGCAGAGCUUCAGAAAUUCGUUACUAGCUCACUGGUCACUUACAGAAACUCCAUAGCUUAACAGUUGAGUGACUGAAUCUUUCUUCCAUUACUUUUGUGUUUCUGCAUGGGCAAUUAGGCAAGAAGCAUAUUCACAUUUGCAUGUCAUCCCCCAGGUCAGUAAUUUCAACAAAAUAAUUACUGCAAAUAUGUUUGCUUAAUGUUAGCAUUUCAGUUUUGUCCUUUUUUUUAAGGGGGUUCUAAUUUUGAUCUCAUUUAGUGUGUUUGUGGACUUGAAAACAUUAUUUUCUUUAUAAUAAAUAUGUUGGUUUCCUGCGGUGUUCACUGCUGUAUAUACAGCAACAGCGUCCACCUGGAAGUUGUUCCUGCAUGUUGAUGUGGCUAAAUUAAAGUGGGAACACCUCCCGGUGUUUGGACAUCAUAGUUAAUAGAUGACUGUGUGCAUAUGCACUUCAUAUGAUUCAAUGCUUUCUGUUCCCGGUGGCUACUUGCCAGGCAGUGAUCGAGUGUAUGUGCAUAGGCCUUAUGCUUCGAAUUGCCAGAACAAACCCACAGCCAGCAAGGAUGUAGCAAAGGUGGUGUACAGCCCAUGUCUGACCACCAUGUGCCUCCAGUACAAGCCAGCAGUAGUAGCCUGUUUCUGCAUGCACCUUUGCAUGCAAGUGGUUCAGCUGGAAGAUGAGUUUGCUGCACAGCUUCAAAUGACUUGUAAACAUGAAAACAAAAUCAUGUUCUGCUGGUGGGUGCUUGUCAUCCAGCAAGCAAGGCAUCAAAUUCUUCAGCUUUCCAAGGGAUCCAGCACGGGCUGCGGUAUGGGCAGGAAAGGUUGAAAUAACCUUCAUUGUUGAUUCUGCUAGAAGUCUGCACAAUAAAUAUUUGUGCAGCAAACAUUUCCUGGAAAGUGAUUUCACUACACAUUGCAGCAAGCCACAACACUGUACUGGCUACAGUGGGAUGCUGUGGUGAAUACCUGGCAACAGCUAUUUGAUGAUCACCUUGUGAACACAUUUGAAGCUAUUCGUUCGUAGUCUGGUUU